GGAAAAAUCAACAACAACAAAUUCUAACUAGAGUGGGCGGAGCAAGUAUCAAAUCAAAAAAAGUUAAAAAAAAAUUCCUGCUAGGUUCGUGAAGUGAGCAUGAAAAAACUACAUAAUAGUGGCAGUCAAAUGAAGAGAACAUCAUCGGUAUAGGAUCAUCAACGACGAAGUUAGUACCAAACCCCGGCCGAAAUAGUCAAAAAUAGCUUUUUGUCUUUUUGCCUAUUUUUUCAACCAACUUGUUUUUCGAACCAUACUCAAAUGAAUGACUUCAGAAAAAGAGGUUUUUCAAUUGACAAUUUUUAUAUAUAUUAAUCAAAUCUCUGUUUGUGUACAUUUGUUAGUUUCGCCCAUUUGUCGGAUCACGAUCGAAAUCAUCUCAAGUGACAAGAAGAAUUUGAUUAGGUGAGUAUGUAUGUACACCACUGUGCAGCUCUGUAAACAUUUUCCAUCACGAUGAGCAAUUCGCUAAUUCGCAUCACAAGCUGACAAAUGGAGAAAAUUUGUAUCAGGAAAAUGCGGCAGGAGUUUUCUGUCUCGACUUCAGUGCUCGGGAUUAUAUAGAAAGUGAUAAUCAGUACGAGAAAGAAAUCACCUUUUUUGCUGAGGCCUUCAAAAGCCCUUCCCGGAGCAGUAUGGAUCGAGACGUCAAGCCCAAUAAAUCGAUAAAAUACAGCAGGCCGAGUUUUGCUUCAAUAGUUUACUAUCAGACAUUGCGGUGGGAUGCGUUGAGAGUCGCGAUGAAGUAGCCUUGAACCAGGUCGAGGUUUUAGCGGUAGACACGAACAUGAUCAAAGGGUGCAAGGAAAACGACACUACGUGACUUUACCAGCAAUUAUAUUAUACAAUGCAUCAAUCCCAGUGCUCCUAGUUUUAGGAAGAUCUAUGGGACGAUACGCAACAAGUGAUCCAUUUUAUUAUGCCGGCUUUUUCCACGGGGCGUAAUCCCAACACCAAAAUGACUGGAAACAAGCUCGAACACUGAUUUAAAGCAAAGCGAUGCAAUCAGACAGUUUAGCUUAAGAGUCGAAUCACCGGAACAAGUCACCUAAAAAGCAUACCAAAAAACAAUUCGUUUUAUUCCGUCUCAUACGAUCCGACGACGUACUUUUUCUCCAUCAUAUAUGGCUCUAGUUUUAACCAGUUCCUCAACCUGCGUUUUUGCGACUCUCCGGAGCGGAAAAAUCGACUUCAUUUUGCCAUCAGUGAUUUGCAGACGAUAUUCACCCUAGCCAAAAAGCUGCUCACCAAGGAGACGCUGGAACACCUUGAGCAAGCCGGAGAUAUUUACGCGUUGCAUCAGAUAAAAGCUAAGAAAUAAUCAACCUGGUUAUGGUGACCCUUUUGAAGGAAAUUUUGCAAAAUGAUUUUCCUACGCUGUAUUAUAUUUUAUCAAAGAUGUGCAGGAGUUUGUGAAGCGCUUGUUUCUGAUAGGUCAAACCGAGAUGAAAAAGGAAUAGCACGACAGCUUAUUGGACAGAGUGAAUGAUCCGUCCAACAUUGUGGUAAACAAGUACAAGAUCAAUGUUUUAGCCAACACGGCGUGUGUCGAUCUACUAGUGUCGGCCACUGGAGAUGAAACUGGUGCUGCAUUCCGUCAUCACAAUCGGCAGACGACAAAUGAUAGAGAACCAAGGUAUUCGCUGCCAAGUACUGGGAAAUUCGCAUGGUUCGGAUAGAGAAUAUUCCAUCUGUGUGAUGAGCAUCUCAAGUACUGUCAAUCCGGAAGAUUUAGUCUACCCGUGUAUUUUGCAUUUCACACAGUAUUGCCCGAACUCCGAAGUAUGUCAUUUACCCAGACCGAAAUAAGCCAACCGAAGAAUACAGAGUAAAAUAUACUAAGAAGCAUAUCGUGAAAAAUGAACAUGAGUUAGCCAACCUGUCCUCUAGCUCUGGAUGAGUGUGAAUCGCGAUUUAUUGGAGGAUACUUUGACUCAAUUAUAUUUAUCUUGUGCAUCCUUCUCAUUGUGGUACUAAGAGAAUCUUAGUAAUAGUAGAAAAAAGGAGAACCGCUGUUGCUGUUCCUGCCAUCGUGUUUGAGCUAAGCUCUGGCGUAACGUCGCAAGAAAUGUUUGCUAUGUUAAUCUUCAGUUAAUUGCCUUUCAGCACGCUGUGGGCGACUCGACUGGUGCCAAUAAAAUGUUUAUGAUGUACCGAGUAACGGAAGAAGUGGGGAGAACUUCGAACAACUAAGAAAAUGUGGACGCGUUGGAAAUCAGUUGAGAAACUAUGAGAGGUUGCCAAUGAUGUCAAUCGGCGUCUUGAAUUGUCCAUCUUUGAUGAAUAGCUGGAAUUGUUUAUCAAAAUCUCUCAGAUAUAUUGAGAUCGGUCUCUAUCUGGCCAUCUCGCUACUGCCAAACAGAAAACAUUGUUACUAGAAUUGCAGAACGAAACCUCACAUAGAUGUAUUAAAAAUUUAGAAUCAAAUGAAUCAAUACGAUGCUUCAUCCAAUGAUUGCCGGUAAAAUGUAUUCAAUUGUUUAAGGCCCCGAUAUACUUAUAUAGUUGCUUGAACCAAUAGGAAAUAAUGAAGCAUAUGAGUUGUAAAAUAAACUGUUUUUAGAUUAGGUAUUCGAUUAUAAAAAAUUGUAUUAAUAAAUGCUAAAAUAAAUU
This is a long non-coding RNA of Topomyia yanbarensis, 2613 nucleotides long. RefSeq lists it as uncharacterized. The transcript has 8 exons. The record is from RefSeq and is a predicted model, not a curated record. NCBI's taxonomy places the organism in Eukaryota, Metazoa, Arthropoda, Insecta, Diptera, Culicidae.